This 275-nucleotide ribosomal RNA is filed under the name uncultured bacterium. RNAcentral's name for it is "partial 16S ribosomal RNA". It matches the Rfam family "Bacterial small subunit ribosomal RNA", at positions 338 to 605 of the family's 1533-position model. The record is from RNAcentral.
CCUACGGGGGGCUGCAGUCGAGAAUCAUUCACAAUGGGCGAAAGCCUGAUGGUGUGACGCCGCGUGGAGGAUGAAGGUCUUCGGAUUGUAAACUCCUGUCAAGUGGGGGUAAGGCACUGCGAGGAAAUGCGCGUGUGCUUGAGAGUACCACUAGAGGAAGGGACGGCUAACUUCGUGCCAGCAGCCGCGGUAAUACGAAGGUCCCAAGCGUUGUUCGGAAUCACUGGGCGUAAAGGGUGCGUAGGCUGCGCGGAAAGUCAGAGGUGAAAUCCCGG